Molecule: long non-coding RNA, 681 nt
Filed under: Cyanistes caeruleus (blue tit)
Lineage: Eukaryota; Metazoa; Chordata; Aves; Passeriformes; Paridae
Description: lncRNA (ENSCCEG00000014983.1)
Source: RNAcentral
CAUCCCUGUUUUGAAACACAAUUUUGAGGCGAAACUGUAGCAAUACACAUCUUUCAGUCUGGAUGCACAGUUUUGAAAGCAGUGUCUCCCUGAUAUGAAGAGAUUAUUUAUUUAUUAAGAAGCUCCAGCCACAAAGGCAGCAGAAGGUGCUUGGGGAGAAACCAAAGAAGCAGGACAAGUACAGAGUGAUUCUUCCAGCUUCUGACACUCGGCAGUUUUGGGACUCCCUGUGCUGAAGUUGCAUCUCAAGCAUUGUUUUUAUGAACCACUGAGUGAGGAAGCAACAAUAGGAACAAUGGAUCACUGUUCAGCAUCAGUGGCAACUGCACUUAGAAAUAAGUAACAGUGCCACUUCAAAAUGCUUGACAUGGACAACAGAGACAGAAGAGCCAGGAAAUUAUGGUAGUGCUAAAGCCACACCCACGGCCAGAGGCAGCAUCUCACAGCUCCUCUAAGUUGUGAACGCCUUGGGAGCUGAGAGUCCCUACCAUGCAGAGAGAAAAUCUUUUGGAAAAUGACAGUGUCUGAAGAAUAAUGGGAAUUCAAAGUCUGGCUCCAAAUUUCCUUGUGAAUCAGUCUGCUUCUCUGCAUCUGCAGAAUGGGACAGUCCUGUGGCAGUCCUUCUGUGUCCUGGAAGAUACCUUGUGUGUUCUGAUGAAUGGAAGGCAGAGGCAGUUUUGA